This 460-nucleotide ribosomal RNA is filed under the name uncultured bacterium. Its description in RNAcentral is "partial 16S ribosomal RNA". It matches the Rfam family "Bacterial small subunit ribosomal RNA", at positions 338 to 795 of the family's 1533-position model. The record is from RNAcentral.
CCUACGGGAGGCAGCAGUGAGGAAUAUUGGUCAAUGGGCGGGAGCCUGAACCAGCCAAGUCGCGUGAGGGAAGACGGUCCUAUGGAUUGUAAACCUCUUUAGGCGGGGAGCAAUGCCGGGCACGUGUGCCCGGAGGGAGAGUACCCGCAGAAUAAGCAUCGGCUAACUCCGUGCCAGCAGCCGCGGUAAUACGGGGGAUGCGAGCGUUAUCCGGAUUUAUUGGUUUUAAAGGGUGCGUAGGCGGAUUUUUAAGUCAGCGGUAAAAUGUCCGGGCUCAACCCGGGCCGGCCGUUGAAACUGGGAGUCUUGAGUAGGCGAGAAGUAUGCGGAAUGCGUGGUGUAGCGGUGAAAUGCAUAGAUAUCACGCAGAACUCCGAUUGCGAAGGCAGCAUACCGGCGCGCAACUGACGCUCAUGCACGAAAGCGUGGGUAUCGAACAGGAUUAGAUACCCCUGUAGUC